RNAcentral lists this ribosomal RNA (306 nucleotides) under uncultured bacterium. RNAcentral's name for it is "partial 16S ribosomal RNA". It matches the Rfam family "Bacterial small subunit ribosomal RNA", at positions 507 to 807 of the family's 1533-position model. The record is from RNAcentral.
GACAGCAGCCGCCACGGUAAUACGGAGGGUGCAAGCGUUAAUCGGAAUUACUGGGCGUAAAGCGCACGCAGGCGGUCUGACAAGUCAGAUGUGAAAUCCCCGGGCUUAACCUGGGAACUGCAUUUGAAACUGUCAGGCUGGAGUCUUGUAGAGGGGGGUAGAAUUCCAGGUGUAGCGGUGAAAUGCGUAGAGAUCUGGAGGAAUACCGGUGGCGAAGGCGGCCCCCUGGACAAAGACUGACGCUCAGGUGCGAAAGCGUGGGGAGCAAACAGGAUUAGAUACCCCUGUAGUCCCUGUCUCUUAUAC